Long non-coding RNA from Chinchilla lanigera (long-tailed chinchilla), 525 nucleotides. RefSeq lists it as uncharacterized. NCBI's taxonomy places the organism in Eukaryota, Metazoa, Chordata, Mammalia, Rodentia, Chinchillidae. The record is from RefSeq and is a predicted model, not a curated record. The transcript has 3 exons.
UGCUGGGGAAACUCAUCUAUCUGAAGAGACAUCAUUCCAUCUGCUGUUUCAUAACCAGGAAGGCUCUGAGCCUCAGCACAACACAAGCAUGUUCAGGUUUUGAAGGGAAAUGCAGAGAAGAGUAAGGAAGAUGGGCCCAACCUUCUUCCCAGGCUUUCGUGGAAUCAACCCUGGAAUCACUGAGAUGACAGAUGUUGGAGACAGAUGCCCACAUAUCCACUCGGUCUCUGAAAAGCAACUUAUUCUCUGGCGACUUGAGGAAUCAUCUUCACGUCACAAUUCCAUCAACAUCAAAUGCACAAAGCAUUUCAGACGUGAUUUAAGGAGAAGGCGGACCUUCCUUUGGACAUGGCCAAGCAGCCAUACAACAUUACAAUUAAUUCAGCCUGGUGCAAGUGCUUGUCUGCAAGUCGGAAGGGCUGAGUUCAGCUGCAAUUCUGCUACUUGCUACUGAACUUGCUGCUUAGCUUUGGGCAAGUUAUUUUCCCACAACAGACCUAGGGAGUCUGAUCUUUAAACUACAGA